Molecule: ribosomal RNA, 435 nt
Filed under: uncultured bacterium
Lineage: Bacteria
Description: partial 16S ribosomal RNA
Rfam family: Bacterial small subunit ribosomal RNA
Source: RNAcentral
AGCGAACGCUGGCGGCAGGCUUAACACAUGCAAGUCGAGCGGGCACUUUCGGGUGUCAGCGGCGGACGGGUGAGUAACGCGUGGGAACGUGCCCUCUGGUUCGGAAUAACUCAGGGAAACUUGAGCUAAUACCGGAUACGCCCUUUUGGGGAAAGGCUUGCUGCCGGAGGAUCGGCCCGCGUCUGAUUAGCUAGUUGGUGAGGUAACGGCUCACCAAGGCGACGAUCAGUAGCUGGUCUGAGAGGUUGAUCAGCCACACUGGGACUGAGACACGGCCCAGACUCCUACGGGAGGCAGCAGUGGGGAAUAUUGGACAAUGGGCGCAAGCCUGAUCCAGCCAUGCCGCGUGAGUGAUGAAGGCCUUAGGGUUGUAAAGCUCUUUUAUCCGGGACGAUAAUGACGGUACCGGAGGAAUAAGCCCCGGCUAACUUCGUG